UACGAAGGGGGCUAGCGUUGCUCGGAAUUACUGGGCGUAAAGCGCACGUAGGCGGCUUGUUAAGUCAGGGGUGAAAUCCUGGAGCUCAACUCCAGAACUGCCUUUGAUACUGGCGAGCUUGAGUUCGGGAGAGGUGAGUGGAACUGCGAGUGUAGAGGUGAAAUGCGUAGAGACCCGGAGGAACACCAGUGGCGAAGGCGGCUUCCUGGUCUGCAACUGACGCUGUGGCGCGAAAGCUAGGGGAGCAAACGGG
This 253-nucleotide ribosomal RNA is filed under the name uncultured bacterium. RNAcentral describes it as "partial 16S ribosomal RNA". It matches the Rfam family "Bacterial small subunit ribosomal RNA", at positions 524 to 776 of the family's 1533-position model. The record is from RNAcentral.